Molecule: ribosomal RNA, 490 nt
Filed under: uncultured bacterium
Lineage: Bacteria
Description: partial 16S ribosomal RNA
Rfam family: Bacterial small subunit ribosomal RNA
Source: RNAcentral
AUUGAACGCUGGCGGCAGGCCUAACACAUGCCAGUCGAACGGUAACAGGAAGAAGCUUGCUUCUUUGCUGACGAGUGGCGGACGGGUGAGUAAUGUCUGGGAAACUGCCUGAUGGAGGGGGAUAACUACUGGAAACGGUAGCUAAUACCGCAUAACGUCGCAAGACCAAAGAGGGGGACCUUCGGGCCUCUUGCCAUCGGAUGUGCCCAGAUGGGAUUAGCUAGUAGGUGGGGUAACGGCUCACCUAGGCGACGAUCCCUAGCUGGUCUGAGAGGAUGACCAGCCACACUGGAACUGAGACACGGUCCAGACUCCUACGGGAGGCAGCAGUGGGGAAUAUUGCACAAUGGGCGCAAGCCUGAUGCAGCCAUGCCGCGUGUAUGAAGAAGGCCUUCGGGUUGUGAAGUACUUUCAGCGGGGAGGAAGGGAGUAAAGUUAAUACCUUUGCUAAUUGACGUUACCCGCAGAAGAAGCACCGGCUAACUCCGUG